AUUAGCCUUCAGCCGGCGAUGUCCGAAUGGGGAAACCCAGUGCAAUUCGUUGCACUAUCGUUAACUGAAUACAUAGGUUAACGAGGCGAACCGGGGGAACUGAAACAUCUAAGUACCCCGAGGAAAAGAAAUCAACCGAGAUUCCCCCAGUAGCGGCGAGCGAACGGGGAGCAGCCCAGAGUCUGAAUCAGCUUGUGUGUUAGUGGAACGGUCUGGAAAGUCCGACGGUACAGGGUGAUAGUCCCGUACACCAAAAUGCACAGGCUGUGAACUCGAAGAGUAGGGCGGGACACGUGGUAUCCUGUCUGAAUAUGGGGGGACCAUCCUCCAAGGCUAAAUACUCCUGACUGACCGAUAGUGAACCAGUACCGUGAGGGAAAGGCGAAAAGAACCCCGGCGAGGGGAGUGAAAAAGAACCUGAAACCGUGUACGUACAAGCAGUGGGAGCACCUUCGGGUGUGACUGCGUACCUUUUGUAUAAUGGGUCAGCGACUUAUAUUCUGUAGCAAGGUUAACCGUAUAGGGGAGCCGCAGGGAAACCGAGUCUUAACUGGGCGUUAAGUUGCAGGGUAUAGACCCGAAACCCGGUGAUCUAGCCAUGGGCAGGUUGAAGGUUGGGUAACACUAACUGGAGGACCGAACCGACUAAUGUUGAAAAAUUAGCGGAUGACUUGUGGCUGGGGGUGAAAGGCCAAUCAAACCGGGAGAUAGCUGGUUCUCCCCGAAAGCUAUUUAGGUAGCGCCUCGUGAAUUCAUCUUCGGGGGUAGAGCACUGUUUCGGCUAGGGGGUCAUCCCGACUUACCAACCCGAUGCAAACUACGAAUACCGAAGAAUGUUAUCACGGGAGACACACGGCGGGUGCUAACGUCCGUCGUGAAGAGGGAAACAACCCAGACCGCCAGCUAAGGUCCCAAAGUCAUGGUUAAGUGGGAAACGAUGUGGGAAGGCACAGACAGCCAGGAUGUUGGCUUAGAAGCAGCCAUCAUUUAAAGAAAGCGUAAUAGCUCACUGGUCGAGUCGGCCUGCGCGGAAGAUGUAACGGGGCUAAACCAUGCACCGAAGCUGCGGCAGCGACACUAUGUGUUGUUGGGUAGGGGAGCGUUCUGUAAGCCUGCGAAGGUGACCUGUGAGGGUUGCUGGAGGUAUCAGAAGUGCGAAUGCUGACAUAAGUAACGAUAAAGCGGGUGAAAAGCCCGCUCGCCGGAAGACCAAGGGUUCCUGUCCAACGUUAAUCGGGGCAGGGUGAGUCGACCCCUAAGGCGAGGCCGAAAGGCGUAGUCGAUGGGAAACAGGUUAAUAUUCCUGUACUUGGUGUUACUGCGAAGGGGGGACGGAGAAGGCUAUGUUAGCCGGGCGACGGUUGUCCCGGUUUAAGCAUGUAGGCUGGUUGUCCAGGCAUCCGGGUAACAUCAAAUCGUACCCCAAACCGACACAGGUGGUCAGGUAGAGAAUACCAAGGCGCUUGAGAGAACUCGGGUGAAGGAACUAGGCAAAAUGGUGCCGUAACUUCGGGAGAAGGCACGCUGGUGUGUAGGUGAAGUCCCUGCGGAUGGAGCUGAGACCAGUCGAAGAUACCAGCUGGCUGCAACUGUUUAUUAAAAACACAGCACUGUGCAAACACGAAAGUGGACGUAUACGGUGUGACGCCUGCCCGGUGCCGGAAGGUUAAUUGAUGGGGUUAUCCGUAAGGAGAAGCUCUUGAUCGAAGCCCCGGUAAACGGCGGCCGUAACUAUAACGGUCCUAAGGUAGCGAAAUUCCUUGUCGGGUAAGUUCCGACCUGCACGAAUGGCGUAAUGAUGGCCAGGCUGUCUCCACCCGAGACUCAGUGAAAUUGAACUCGCUGUGAAGAUGCAGUGUACCCGCGGCAAGACGGAAAGACCCCGUGAACCUUUACUAUAGCUUGACACUGAACAUUGAGCCUUGAUGUGUAGGAUAGGUGGGAGGCUUUGAAGCGUGGACGCCAGUCUGCGUGGAGCCAACCUUGAAAUACCACCCUUUAAUGUUUGAUGUUCUAACGUUGGCCCCUUACCGGGGUUGCGGACAGUGUCUGGUGGGUAGUUUGACUGGGGCGGUCUCCUCCCAAAGCGUAACGGAGGAGCACGAAGGUUAGCUAAUCCUGGUCGGACAUCAGGAGGUUAGUGCAAUGGCAUAAGCUAGCUUGACUGCGAGCGUGACGGCGCGAGCAGGUGCGAAAGCAGGUCAUAGUGAUCCGGUGGUUCUGAAUGGAAGGGCCAUCGCUCAACGGAUAAAAGGUACUCCGGGGAUAACAGGCUGAUACCGCCCAAGAGUUCAUAUCGACGGCGGUGUUUGGCACCUCGAUGUCGGCUCAUCACAUCCUGGGGCUGAAGUAGGUCCCAAGGGUAUGGCUGUUCGCCAUUUAAAGUGGUACGCGAGCUGGGUUUAGAACGUCGUGAGACAGUUCGGUCCCUAUCUGCCGUGGGCGCUGGAGAAUUGAGGGGGGCUGCUCCUAGUACGAGAGGACCGGAGUGGACGCAUCACUGGUGUUCGGGUUGUCAUGCCAAUGGCACUGCCCGGUAGCUAAAUGCGGAAGAGAUAAGUGCUGAAAGCAUCUAAGCACGAAACUUGCCCCGAGAUGAGUUCUCCCUGAGACUUUAAGUCUCCUGAAGGAACGUUAUGACGUUGAUAGGCCGGGUGUGUAAGCGCAGCGAUGCGUUGAGCUAACCGGUACUAAUGAACCGUGAGGCUUAACCUUACAACGCCGAAG
This 2727-nucleotide ribosomal RNA is filed under the name Klebsiella pneumoniae subsp. pneumoniae. Its description in RNAcentral is "bacterial LSU rRNA". It matches the Rfam family "Bacterial large subunit ribosomal RNA". The record is from RNAcentral. Lineage: Bacteria; Pseudomonadati; Pseudomonadota; Gammaproteobacteria; Enterobacterales; Enterobacteriaceae.